CCUACGGGGGACUGCAGUGAGGAAUAUUGGUCAAUGGGCGGAAGCCUGAACCAGCCAAGUAGCGUGCGGGAUGAAGGCCCUACGGGUCGUAAACCGCUUUUGCACGGGGAUAACACCCUCCACUUGUGGAGGUCUGCAGGUACCGUGCGAAUAAGGGCCGGCUAAUUCCGUGCCAGCAGCCGCGGUAAUACGGAAGGCCCGAGCGUUAUCCGGAUUCAUUGGGCUUAAAGGGAGCGUAGGCGGGCGUUCAAGUCAGCUGUAAAAUCGCGCGGCUCAACCGCGCCCCGCAGUUGAAACUGGACGCAUUGAGUUCACAACAGGCAGGCGGAAUUCGUGGUGUAGCGGUGAAAUGCAUAGAUAUCACGAGGAACCCCGAUUGCGAAGGCAGCCUGCCGGGGUGCGACUGACGCUGAGGCUCGAAGGUGCGGGUAUCAAACAGGAUUAGAUACCCCAGUAGUC
Molecule: ribosomal RNA, 459 nt
Filed under: uncultured bacterium
Lineage: Bacteria
Description: partial 16S ribosomal RNA
Rfam family: Bacterial small subunit ribosomal RNA
Source: RNAcentral